UGUACAGUUAGCUAUGUGACCAGAGGUGUUCUCACGAUCUACGAUUUUGUGCAGUAAUAUAAAAGGGACACCUCUGGCUCUGCGCCUCAGUUAAUACUAUCAACUCCGCAUUCACGUCUACAUAUACGUUUACAGCAGUCGAGUGACAAACUUCGAUCAAAUCGUUUAAAGUUAAAAUGUCAUCGCGAACGUGUAAACAUGAUGCUGAUGCAUUUUGUUAUAUAUGUGGUCAGUUUAUAAAUGUUCGAGACACAAAAUUUAAACUGAAGACAUCUCAGGUUCUCUGUGAAGCGUACGAAGCUUAUUUUAAUUUUCCUGUUCGCAAUCAAGACAAGUCAUGGGUCCCACAUGUGGCUUGUAGUAGUUGUAAAAGAUCUUUGGAAGGUUGGUAUCGAGGAGAGAAAAGAUUUAGGAAAUUUGCAGUACCAAGAAUCUGGCGAGAACCGAAAGACCACGUUCAUGACUGUUACUUUUGCGUUGUAAAUCCAAAUAAAAGACGUAGCGGAAACAAUGGAAAACCUCUUGAAUAUCCUAAUCUUGAGUCUUCUUCUGCUCCAAUUGCACACGACCUGACACGACCAAUUCCUUCACCACCAAAAAAAUUAUCUCCGAAAAGUAGCUCAUCUCUUAGUUCCAUUGAAAUCACACCCAAAAAGCAAGUUGGAUCAGUUUUAAAGCAGCAGUAACAGGAUUCUUAGGAAAUAACAAAGCUAAAAACUACGAAAAAUUAGUUGAAGACAUGUUGAAAAAUUUUAAGGCCAUGGGUUGCAGGAUGUCAUUGAAAGUACAUAUGCUACAUGCGCACAUAGAUAAGUUUAAAAAUAACAUGGGGGCAUAUUCCGAAGAGCAAGGAGAACGUUUUCAUCAGGGCAUCAAGAACUUCGAACAACGAUAUCAAGGCCAAUAUAACGAAAAUAUGAUGGGAGAUUAUAUCUGGGGUUUAUUGAGAGAAAGCACUUAUGAUCACAAAAGAAAGAGCAAAAAUGUACACUUUUAAACUAUAUUUCACUUUUUUAUAAGUUAUUUUAAUAAUAAAAUUUCAUGAAAAUGAUAAAUUAGGUUAUUUGUAUAGUUCUAUCCUUAAUUAAACAUAAAAAUCCCAAAUUUUGAAAAAUAUUGUUAAAUCUGAAUUCUGAGUACAGAAGCAAACUUUUUUAUGUCAUAUAUUUUUUUUUUGUGUAGUUAUGACCUAAAUUAUCGAAAUUAAACCUUUAAACGAAAAGGCAAAUUUUGUGUUGACCUGUGUAAUCUUUACUUUUAAUACAUUUUUGAGAUUUAAACUCCCUGCAUAUUUAUUUAUUUUAUUUUUCUGACUCUAUAAAGAUUGAUUUUUGCAUUCACUCAUCACUCAACCAGGUAAUAAAUAAGUAAAUUACUUGCAUUUAAUGACCAAACAGUUACUGACCGCUCGAGAAAUGUCAUUAAAAACUCGUGGACACAGAUACCAGUCUAGAAUGCUGAAAGUUACGAUUAUGUUUGGGUCGGGUCUGGUUAUUGCGAUGGAAAAAUAUUAUUUGCCGAUUAUUUUAUGUUUUAUACUUUCCGUCAAUCUCUUUUUUUAUUACUUACUUAAUAUUGGAUUUUUUUAUUAUUGGCGAGAAAAUAAAAAUUCUGAACAUAUCACACAACAAAA
Molecule: long non-coding RNA, 1633 nt
Organism: Dalotia coriaria
Lineage: Eukaryota; Metazoa; Arthropoda; Insecta; Coleoptera; Staphylinidae
Exons: 2
Source: RefSeq, a predicted model, not a curated record